RNAcentral lists this ribosomal RNA (1179 nucleotides) under Salegentibacter sp. Hel_I_16. RNAcentral describes it as "bacterial SSU rRNA". It matches the Rfam family "Bacterial small subunit ribosomal RNA", at positions 124 to 1304 of the family's 1533-position model. The record is from RNAcentral. Lineage: Bacteria; Pseudomonadati; Bacteroidota; Flavobacteriia; Flavobacteriales; Flavobacteriaceae.
ACCUACCUUUUAGCGGGGAAUAGCCCAGGGAAACUUGGAUUAAUGCCCCAUAGUAUGGAGGUCUCACCUGAGACCAUCAUUAAACAUUUAUGGCUAUUAGAUGGGUAUGCGUCCUAUUAGUUAGUUGGUAAGGUAACGGCUUACCAAGGCAGCGAUAGGUAGGGGUCCUGAGAGGGAGAUCCCCCACACUGGUACUGAGACACGGACCAGACUCCUACGGGAGGCAGCAGUGAGGAAUAUUGGACAAUGGGCGAGAGCCUGAUCCAGCCAUGCCGCGUGCAGGAAGACUGCCCUAUGGGUUGUAAACUGCUUUUACAGAGGAAGAACCACCCCCACGUGUGGGGGUUUGACGGUACUCUGCGAAUAAGGAUCGGCUAACUCCGUGCCAGCAGCCGCGGUAAUACGGAGGAUCCAAGCGUUAUCCGGAAUCAUUGGGUUUAAAGGGUCCGUAGGCGGGCAGUUAAGUCAGUGGUGAAAGUCUUCCGCUCAACGGGAGAACUGCCAUUGAUACUGAUUGUCUUGAGUUAUUAUGAAGUGGUUAGAAUGAGUAGUGUAGCGGUGAAAUGCAUAGAUAUUACUCAGAAUACCGAUUGCGAAGGCAGAUCACUAAUAAUAUACUGACGCUGAUGGACGAAAGCGUAGGUAGCGAACAGGAUUAGAUACCCUGGUAGUCUACGCCGUAAACGAUGGUUACUAGCUGUUCGGAUCGAUUGAGAUCUGAGUGGUUAAGCGAAAGUGAUAAGUAACCCACCUGGGGAGUACGUUCGCAAGAAUGAAACUCAAAGGAAUUGACGGGGGCCCGCACAAGCGGUGGAGCAUGUGGUUUAAUUCGAUGAUACGCGAGGAACCUUACCAGGGCUUAAAUGUAGUCUGACAGGGGUGGAAACACCCUUUUCUUCGGACAGAUUACAAGGUGCUGCAUGGUUGUCGUCAGCUCGUGCCGUGAGGUGUCAGGUUAAGUCCUAUAACGAGCGCAACCCCUGUGGUUAGUUGCCAGCGAGUAAUGUCGGGAACUCUAGCCAGACUGCCGGUGCAAACCGCGAGGAAGGUGGGGAUGACGUCAAAUCAUCACGGCCCUUACGUCCUGGGCCACACACGUGCUACAAUGGUAGGGACAGAGAGCAGCCACUUCGCGAGAAGGAGCGAAUCUACAAACCCUAUCACAGUUCGGAUCGCAGU